This 3187-nucleotide long non-coding RNA is filed under the name Oryctolagus cuniculus (rabbit). RNAcentral describes it as "lncRNA (ENSOCUG00000034865.1)". The record is from RNAcentral. Lineage: Eukaryota; Metazoa; Chordata; Mammalia; Lagomorpha; Leporidae.
GGUCAAGUUCCUGAACAGGGGCACGCCAGCAGUCCCGUCUCAGGCACAGUGGACGGGGAGGCCACCGCCGAUCUGAUUCACUCCCUAGAGCUUUCCCUGGGCUGCCCGGGCUCACCUGUCCUGGCCUGGCCUCAGGAACACCUGUGCUUAGUGCACCUGGCUAAGCUCCCAGGGGUGGUGCUCAGGAGAAACGCACCCGGAGGACCACGCCACGUCCUCUCCAGCACAGUCCAGCGCAGGCCCCGUCUGCUGCGGGGCAGCCACCCCACCCUCGGAGGGAACAUCCUGGCUCCUUGUGGCUGAGUGGCCGGGGCAGGCAGAGUGAGGACGCUGACCCACAAAUCCACGUGCAGAGCCCAGUGACCGCGGGAGUGGGUAGGAGGGGUCUCGCAGCCCACUCAGACCAAGGCCACGGGCUGGUUUCAGCUGGGGUGGGGCAACCAGCAUUGCCUGUGACUGAAGCUCAGGGCUGAGGGGGCGCUGAGGCCUGCCACACGGGUGGGGAGGUGGCCAGGCCGGCAGGGGUCAGGCAGGCACGCGGUGGGUGCUGUGUGGAGACAGCUCUGCGUGUCUCAUCUGCACAGGGAGCCUUCCGGUUCCCGUCCUGUGAUCCUGGGCCUCGGGUCCGACUGAGAAUGCCAGGGGUUCCUGUAAGGGGGAAGCCUGGCCCCGAGGAACAGCGUGGCAUCUGCAUUUGCUUCUCCACCCCUCCCAGCCGCCUGAGACGGGAGCACUUCCCAAAACCCCGGCAUCCCCUGUGGGAGAAGGGUCCGUCAACUUAGAAAAUCACAGUAAAACAAAGAUGCUUGAAAACCAUGUAAAAAUAAGGCCUGAACUAUGAGACUGCUUAUGUGAAAACAGGAAGGUUCCCGGGCUUGGACUCACUGCCUCACUGGGGUCCUGAGUAAGCCCUGCUGCCCAGGGAGAGAAAGACCAGAAGUGGGAUAUGCAAGGUCUGACUCCCGCAGCUCACAGCCUGGCCAGCAGGGGGCGUGCUGACAGGUGCCCUCGGUGCAGCCAGCAACGUGCAGGCCUGGGCCCUGGGCCUCGGGUGAAGAUGACGCGGCUCUGUGGCUGGGGGGCUGCUGGGGACGGGCUAGGGAUGUGGGAGGUUGGAGAAAUGAGAUGUUCAUCGUCCGGCACCCGGAGAGCCAGCUCCAGGGCCAUGGUGACGUGUGACAAGCGAGCUGCGUGGGGACGGGGCGUGCCGCUGUGCUCCGAGCCCAGGUGAUUAGCUCGCCCCGGGAGUGCCUUAGGACCCCCACCCCGGUCCUGGGUCCCAAGAAAACAGCAUCUUAGGAAGGAACGGCUGUGUCAGACCUCGGCCACUCAGGAUGACAGCAGAAACCCUCCCCUUCUGGGCCUUGGUUGAUUCCUGCAAAACGGGGGUCCUCAGCUUCAUGGCACCGAGGGUCCUUCCCCGGCUCCCACCCCUCCAGCACCACCUGGGCCCAGACAUGUGCCUCCUGCGGCAGCAGAAGCUCUGAGCGGCAAUUUCUAAAGAAUUCCCCGCCAUCAGGCAGCCACGCCCCCUCAGCGUGGGGCCCUGCUUCCUGGAGUAGUGGAAGACGGCGACAGAGUGACCAUGAUGAGUUCUGAGAGAACCCAGUGGUUUAUCAGCAGACUGGCCUGGGACACACAGUGGAGUGGGGCCAGGGAGCAGCUGGACAGCUCCCCUGGGGCACCAGUGUACCACGGGGGCAUCAGAGGAGCGCCCUUGCCCAGCGCUGUACUGCUAGGCUGCAAAACACGCCUCCACGGCACUACGGCUCGCUGUUCUCCCGCACCCCGCCCCUCUAGCGAGAAGGCAGCAGUCGGGAGCGGGACGGGCCACAUCCUCCCUCCCUUUCUCUGAGGCCUGGUUUCCAGUAGAUGGGGCGGACCUCAGGGGGUCCACCUGGCACUGUCAGUCGAAGAGCACACGAGACAGCAGGGACAGCCUGACGAGGGACAGGUCUGAUUGUCAGAGCUUCUAACCCAGCGGUUCUCACCCUCUCAGCCCCCACGGCCCCUUCCUGUGACAGACACUCUGCAGUGGCCCUGCGUUUUCCUGCAAUGAGAUGCACGGGUUGUGUAACUCACAUACAUGGGUGGGCGAGAAGGGAUCACUGCAAGGCCUGGAAGGGGAAGAAAGGGGGCAGCCAUCUAUCAUGAAGUGCAGGCCCUGGACGCUGGGAGGGGAAGCAGAGAGCAGCCGGCACCUGCCACAGACCUGGGACACACUGCCACGCCACGGGUCAGCUGGACAGGCGACAAAGACAUCUCCUGAGAAGGGACUUUUCCAAGCAGAAGACAGGUGGGACAGGGACAAAUCCAAGUAGCUGCAAUCCUAGAAAACUCUGCACAUACUAAAACUGGAAAAAACCAAAACAGUGCUUUUUAUAGAACGGAGCCACAUUCUGGCUCAGAUAACAAAAACAGUUUUUCACCCACAGAAGUCUGGAGGGACACAUGAAACACACCCACCGUGCGGGCUGUCCUGUGUACCCCAAAUGUCCAGCACCAUUCUGUCCCACGCCGCCCUGCAGGGCCUCCCUGUCCAGCCCCCCACCACUUCAGGUCUACAAGAAACAUCAUGAGAAGACAGUACUCACACACAAGGCAGUGGCGGAGUCGGGGCAAGAACCUGGACUCCUUCCAGGCCGUGCUGUUCUCUGGUCCUCAAUCUUGGGGGAAGUGGAGUGGCAACCAGACCCUAGCGCUAUAAGGUAGGGAACGCAGAUGGGGGCAGAGUAAGCAUGGGGAAGGGGGCUCACCCUGGCCUGGGGCAGGGCAGGGGGCACAGAGGUCUUCCCACAGAGCGUGGGACUCCCCACUGAGAGGAAGUGGUGAACAGAGGUAGAAACCAGGUGUCAGGGGAGGCCAAGGAGGAGCAGAGAUGACCAGAACAGUGGGGGGCAGGGCAAAUGGGCAGCUGGUGUCCAAACCCAGGGCACCGGGCCUUUCCCGCCCUCAUCCCACUGCCCGUACAUCCCUGGGAAACCACAAAGCUCAUCCGAAGGCUCCCUUGUACUCAUCCUGUCACUUCUGGAAUCCUUCCUCUUUUUAGAAAAGAUCUCUGGGAUAAUCUGAAACGACAACUUCUCAAACCUUGCAGACUCUUGCCUCUCUGGCUCCUGGCCAGUUCCUUUUUUUUCACAGCCAAAACCAAUUUAUUCAAGGGAAAAUAAAUCCGCAGAGGCAGCCA